This 85-nucleotide transfer RNA is filed under the name Firmicutes bacterium HGW-Firmicutes-8. Its description in RNAcentral is "tRNA-Leu". It matches the Rfam family "tRNA". From Rfam's summary of the family: Transfer RNA (tRNA) molecules are approximately 80 nucleotides in length. Their secondary structure includes four short double-helical elements and three loops (D, anti-codon, and T loops). Further hydrogen bonds mediate the characteristic L-shaped molecular structure. tRNAs have two regions of fundamental functional importance: the anti-codon, which is responsible for specific mRNA codon recognition, and the 3' end, to which the tRNAs corresponding amino acid is attached (by aminoacyl-tRNA synthetases). tRNAs cope with the degeneracy of the genetic code in two manners: having more than one tRNA (with a specific anti-codon) for a particular amino acid; and 'wobble' base-pairing, i.e. permitting non-standard base-pairing at the 3rd anti-codon position. The record is from RNAcentral. Lineage: Bacteria; Bacillati; Bacillota.
GCGGAUGUGGCGGAAUUGGCAGACGCACCAGACUUAGGAUCUGGCGCCGAGAGGCAUGGGGGUUCAAGUCCCUUCAUCCGCACCA